This 809-nucleotide ribosomal RNA is filed under the name uncultured Actinomycetes bacterium. RNAcentral's name for it is "bacterial SSU rRNA". It matches the Rfam family "Bacterial small subunit ribosomal RNA", at positions 78 to 866 of the family's 1533-position model. The record is from RNAcentral. Lineage: Bacteria; Bacillati; Actinomycetota; Actinomycetes.
UUCGGGGGGCAAGUAGAGUGGCGCACGGGNAGUAACACGUAGGUAAUCUACCUUUGGAUUGGGAAUAACCACCGGAAACGGUGGCUAAUACCGAAUAAUGCAGCGGCACCUAAUGGUGACAGUUGUUAAAGCGGGGGAUCGCAAGACCUCGCGUCUGAAGAGGAGCCUGCGGCAGAUUGGCUAGUUGGUAGGGUAACGGCUUACCAAGGCUAUGAUCUGUAGCCGGCCUGAGAGGGCGGUCGGCCACACUGACACUGACAUACGGGUCAGACUCCUACGGGAGGCAGCAGUCGGGAAUUUUGGGCAAUGGGCGAAAGCCUGACCCAGCAACGCCGCGUGAAGGAUGAAAUCCCUCGGGAUGUAAACUUCGCAAGAACGGGAAGAAUAAGUAAGGGUUAAUAUCCCUUAUGAUGACGGUACUGUUUGUAAGCUCCGGCUAACUCCGUGCCAGCAGCCGCGGUAAUACGGGGGGAGCAAGCGUUGUUCGGAUUUACUGGGCGUAAAGGGCGCGUAGGCGGCCACCGCAAGUCGAUUGUGAAAUCUCCGGGCUUAACCCGGAAAGGUCAACCGAUACUGCGGGGCUAGAGUGCAGAAGGGGCAACUGGAAUUCUCGGUGUAGCGGUGAAAUGCGUAGAUAUCGAGAGGAACACCUGCGGCGAANGCGGGUUGCUGGGCUGACACUGACGCUGAUGCGCGAAAGCUAGGGGAGCGAACGGGAUUAGAUACCCCGGUAGUCCUAGCCUUAAACGAUGAAUGCUUGGUGUCUGGGGUUCUAUAGUCCCCGGGUGCCGUCGCUAACGCUUUAAGCA